This is a long non-coding RNA of Pipra filicauda (Wire-tailed manakin), 638 nucleotides long. RefSeq lists it as uncharacterized. The transcript is spliced from 3 exons. The record is from RefSeq and is a predicted model, not a curated record. NCBI's taxonomy places the organism in Eukaryota, Metazoa, Chordata, Aves, Passeriformes, Pipridae.
GAGGAGGGAGCUGCCAACACAGCUCUCACGGCUCUUCAGAAGCUGCUGGGAACAAGCAGGACUCUGCUGAUCACCUCAUUCUGGAAUUUGCUGAAUAUAAGCAGAAAUGGCUCCGAGAAGAGGAACAAACUCUUCCAACAGUCCCUGUGUAGCCCACGCUGAGGCACCACCAACACCACUCCUAACUGAGAUGAAUAUUUCAUCUGGAGGAACCAGAGGCUGCUCUCACUUGAGCAAAAUAGCAACAAAACCAACCCAGCACUUGCUCGGCUUUUCCCUUCCUCAGAAAGAGAGGGAGAAAAACUACUGUGUAAGCCUCUUUAAAAGCAACCCGGUCCCUGGCUGAGGGAUCUCCUUGUCUGCCAACGGUCCUGAGGAGCAAAAAUCAGGUUCUACACAAGAAAAUGGGGUACAACUUGAGAUAUCUUUGAAAGCAAUCAUUUCUCUUUGUGAUAAUCUCCAUUCUUGUCUCCAGUCACAUUUUGUUUCAUGUGUAAAUAUGUGUGUAACAGAACACAGGACUGAGGUUUCAAACCUAAACAGAAAAUGUUAUAAAUAAAGACCUUAACAGAAUAAACAAAUGAAGAAGGAAAGGGCUUUAAUUUGUAUUUGCCAAUUCUGGAAACAAUUGCUGUGGG